GGUCAACUGAAACGAAAUAUAACUUUUUCCAUAUUAAGUAUGUAUUUGCUUCAUUUAGAUCGUAUAAAAUGAUUGUGCGGGUUUGUUCGGUUCAUUUUGGUCAUAUAUCCGCGAUACGCGCGGAUAAAGAUAGCGCACCUGUGUCAGAGCAGAAAAUAUUGCGGGAGUUAUGCCCCUUUACACGAACCCGCCAUAUUGAAACUAAAGACGCUAAUCAGCAGGUGACGUCCGGUAAACAACGAGUAAAUAUGGUGUUUUGUGCGGUUCCUGACUGUAAGGUUUAAUAUAGACAGAGUAACAAUGUUUAGUUUCCCUACACACACAAAAAAUUGCGGAAUUUGGGUGGGGAAAUUAAAAACAAUGGAUUAAUUAUUGGCCGUCGAAGCACUCUAUUGAGGACUGUUAGGCCUACAUAAUAAGCCGUCCAUCAGCUGUCCAUGGCAUGGUCUUUGCAUGGAACACUCAAGAAUGCAAUGAAAGAAAAAGCCAAUCCCAAUUCUCUUUGAUUACAAACCGCUACACGUAGCUACAAAGACCUGAAAGGGCCGAAAACGGAAAACAGAUUUGGACUUUCCCCUUCAUAAACAAAACUUCCAGAGCUGUGGAGAAAAGAACAUUAAGCCUUUGAAUUGAUGCAGGAAGUGAUCAGUUUGGCUCCUACAGAAACUCCAGGAAGUUAAUAUAAUGGAUGUUGUUGGUAAUUCUCCUGCCCCGAUCACAAAUUCCUACCAACAUGUGUCAAACUCAGGUGACUGGGACCUGUAGACCUUUUGGAUUUAACCCAAAUUACAUAUAUGUAAAUUGGUGAUAUAUAUUAUGUACAAUAUAAAAACUGAACAUCAAA
This is a long non-coding RNA of Ostrea edulis (European flat oyster), 844 nucleotides long. RefSeq lists it as uncharacterized. The record is from RefSeq and is a predicted model, not a curated record. Lineage: Eukaryota; Metazoa; Mollusca; Bivalvia; Ostreida; Ostreidae. The transcript has 2 exons.